Molecule: ribosomal RNA, 253 nt
Filed under: uncultured bacterium
Lineage: Bacteria
Description: partial 16S ribosomal RNA
Rfam family: Bacterial small subunit ribosomal RNA
Source: RNAcentral
UACGGAGGAUGCAAGCGUUAUCCGGAAUCAUUGGGCGUAAAGCGUCCGCAGGUGGCAGUUCAAGUCUGCUGUCAAAGACUGGGGCUUAACCCUAGAAAGGCAGUGGAAACUGAACAGCUAGAGUGCGGUAGGGGUAGAGGGAAUUCCCGGUGUAGCGGUGAAAUGCGUAGAGAUCGGGAAGAACACCAGUGGCGAAAGCGCUCUGCUGGACCUGCACUGACACUCAGGGACGAAAGCUAGGGGAGUGAAUGGG